AGAGUUUGAUCCUGGCUCAGGACUAACGCUGACGGUAUGCCUUAUACAUGCAAGUCGAACGGUAAGGUCCUUCGGGAUACACGAGUGGCGGACGGGUGAGUAACACGUAGGAAUCUACCCCAAAGUGGGGGAUAACUAAGAGAAAUCUUAGCUAAUACCCCAUAUGCCGUGAGGUGAAAGUUUUUUCGCUUUGGGAGGAGCCUGCGUCUGAUUAGCUAGUUGGUGAGGUAAUAGCUCACCAAGGCGACGAUCAGUAGCUGGUCUGAGAGGAUGGCCAGCCACAAUGGGACUGAGAUACGGCCCAUACUCCUACGGGAGGCAGCAGUAGGGAAUUUUGCGCAAUGGACGAAAGUCUGACGCAGCGAUACCGUGUGUGGGAAGAAGCUCUGUGGAGUGUAAACCACUGUCAGGAGGGACGAAUCAAUGACGGUACCUCCAAAGGAAGCACCGGCUAACUCUGUGCCAGCAGCCGCGGUAAUACAGAGGGUGCAAGCGUUGUCCGGAUUUAUUGGGCGUAAAGCGUCUGUAGGCGGUUUAUCAAGUCUGUAGUGAAAGAAUGGAGCUCAACUCCAUACCCGCUUCGGAAACUGAUAGACUAGAGAAUGUUAGAGGUAAGUGGAAUUUCAAGUGUAGCGGUGAAAUGCGUAGAUAUUUGAAGGAACACCAGAGGCGAAGGCGGCUUACUGGGACAUUUCUGACGCUGAGAGACGAGAGCCAGGGGAGCGAAAGGGAUUAGAUACCCCUGUAGUCCUGGCUGUAAACGAUGAGUACUAGUCGUCAUGGGAAUCGACCCCCGUGGUGACGCAGCUAACGCAUUAAGUACUCCGCCUGAGUAGUAUGUACGCAAGUAUGAAACUCAAAGGAAUUGACGGGGACCCGCACAAGCGGUGGAACAUGUGGUUUAAUUCGAUGCAACGCGAAAAACCUUACCUGGGCUUGACAUCUGUAGAAGGAAAUGGAGACGUUUCUGUGCCUUCGGGAACUACAAGACAGGUGCUGCAUGGCUGUCGUCAGUUCGUGUCGUGAGAUGUUGGGUUAAGUCCCGCAACGAGCGCAACCCACGUUGUUAGUUGCCAUCAUUUAGUUGGGCACUCUAGCAAGACCGCCGGUGUUAAACCGGAGGAAGGUGCGGACGACGUCAAGUCAUCAUGGCCUUUAUGUCCAGGGCUACACACGUGUUACAAUGGCCGGUACAACGGGCUGCUACUUAGCGAUAAGAGGCAAAUCCCUUAAAACCGGUCUCAGUUCGGAUUGCAGGCUGCAACUCGCCUGCAUGAAGUCGGAAUCGCUAGUAAACGCAGAUCAGCAUGCUGCGUUGAAUGUGUUCCCGGGUCUUGUACACACCGCCCGUCACACCAUGGAAGAUGGUAACGCCCGAAGUCGAUGAUCUAACCUUUAUUGGAGGAAGUCGCCUAAGGCAGUGCUGUUGACUGGGGUGAAGUCGUAACAAGGUA
Molecule: ribosomal RNA, 1454 nt
Filed under: metagenome
Description: bacterial SSU rRNA
Rfam family: Bacterial small subunit ribosomal RNA
Source: RNAcentral